Molecule: ribosomal RNA, 496 nt
Filed under: uncultured bacterium
Lineage: Bacteria
Description: partial 16S ribosomal RNA
Rfam family: Bacterial small subunit ribosomal RNA
Source: RNAcentral
AUGAACGCUGGCGGCGUGCCUAAUACAUGCAAGUCGAGCGAACAGACGAGGAGCUUGCUCCUCUGACGUUAGCGGCGGACGGGUGAGUAACACGUGGAUAACCUACCUAUAAGACUGGGAUAACUUCGGGAAACCGGAGCUAAUACCGGAUAAUAUAUUGAACCGCAUGGUUCAAUAGUGAAAGACGGUUUUGCUGUCACUUAUAGAUGGAUCCGCGCCGCAUUAGCUAGUUGGUAAGGUAACGGCUUACCAAGGCAACGAUGCGUAGCCGACCUGAGAGGGUGAUCGGCCACACUGGAACUGAGACACGGUCCAGACUCCUACGGGAGGCAGCAGUAGGGAAUCUUCCGCAAUGGGCGAAAGCUUGACGGAUCAACGCCGCGUGAGUGAUGAAGGUCUUCGGAUCGUAAAACUCUGUUAUUAGGGAAGAACAAAUGUGUAAGUAACUAUGCACGUCUUGACGGUACCUAAUCAGAAAGCCACGGCUAACUACGUG